This 253-nucleotide ribosomal RNA is filed under the name uncultured bacterium. RNAcentral's name for it is "partial 16S ribosomal RNA". It matches the Rfam family "Bacterial small subunit ribosomal RNA", at positions 524 to 776 of the family's 1533-position model. The record is from RNAcentral.
UACGUAGGGUGCGAGCGUUGUCCGGAAUUAUUGGGCGUAAAGAGCUCGUAGGCGGUUUGUCGCGUCGACUGUGAAAACCUACAGCUUAACUGUGGGCUUGCAGUCGAUACGGGCAGACUUGAGUUCGGUAGGGGAGACUGGAAUUCCUGGUGUAGCGGUGAAAUGCGCAGAUAUCAGGAGGAACACCGGUGGCGAAGGCGGGUCUCUGGGCCAUUACUGACGCUGAGGAGCGAAAGCGUGGGGAGCGAACAGG